This 448-nucleotide unclassified non-coding RNA is filed under the name rhizosphere metagenome. RNAcentral's name for it is "partial ribosomal RNA internal transcribed spacer region". The record is from RNAcentral.
UUCCAGGCGGUUCACCCGCUGAAGCCUCCCGCAGCGACUCUAAACAAACGCGUCAGUCCGCCCUGCGGGCGACACCACGAUCCUGCUGGGACUUCUGCAUCCGUCUUCGACGGUGUUGAUACCAGUGGCCUGCGCGACAGGUUCACAGAUCAGACAGUGGUGGCCAUUGUGUGGUUAAGAUAUGACCGGUCUCCCCUGUUACCAGCCGGAGAAGCCACGUUCCGUAGGUGAACCUGCGGAAGGAUCAUUACUGAGUUAGGGUCUCUUCAGGCCCGACCUCCAACCCAAUGUGUACCUAUCUCUGUUGCUUUGGCGGGCCCGCUGGGGCGACCCACCGGCGGCCUUUGGCUUCCGAGUGCCCGUCAGAGACCCAUAAAAACCUGUUAAUUGUGCCGUCUGAGUACCAAUGCAAUAAUUAAAACUUUCAACAACGGAUCUCUUGGUUCUG